RNAcentral lists this transfer RNA (90 nucleotides) under Beijerinckiaceae bacterium. Its description in RNAcentral is "tRNA-Ser". It matches the Rfam family "tRNA". From Rfam's summary of the family: Transfer RNA (tRNA) molecules are approximately 80 nucleotides in length. Their secondary structure includes four short double-helical elements and three loops (D, anti-codon, and T loops). The record is from RNAcentral. Lineage: Bacteria; Pseudomonadati; Pseudomonadota; Alphaproteobacteria; Hyphomicrobiales; Beijerinckiaceae.
GGAAAGGUGGCCGAGAGGCUGAUGGCGCCGGUCCCGAAAACCGGAGCACCUUAACGGAUGUCGUGAGUUCGAAUCUCACUCUUUCCGCCA